GACGAACGCUGGCGGCGCGCUUAACACAUGCAAGUCGAACGGUGAAGCGCCUUCCUUUUUGGUGGGUGUGGAUGAGUGGCGAACGGGUGAGUAACACGUGAGUAACCUGCCCCCUUCUUCUGGAUAACCGCAUGAAAGUGUGGCUAAUACGGGAUAUUCUGGGUCUGUCGCAUGAUGGGUCUGGGAAAGAUAUUGUUUCGGUGGGGGAUGGGCUCGCGGCCUAUCAGCUUGUUGGUGGGGUGAUGGCCUACCAAGGCGGUGACGGGUAGCCGGCCUGAGAGGGUGGCCGGUCACACUGGGACUGAGACACGGCCCAGACUCCUACGGGGGGCAGCAGUGGGGAAUAUUGCACAAUGGGCGCAAGCCUGAUGCAGCGCCGCCGCGUGAGGGAUGGAGGCCUUCGGGUUGUGAACCUCUUUCGCCAGUGAAGCAGGCCUGCCUCGUUUGUGGGUGGGUUGACGGUAGCUGGAUAAGAAGCGCCGGCUAACUACGUG
RNAcentral lists this ribosomal RNA (494 nucleotides) under uncultured bacterium. RNAcentral's name for it is "partial 16S ribosomal RNA". It matches the Rfam family "Bacterial small subunit ribosomal RNA", at positions 28 to 507 of the family's 1533-position model. The record is from RNAcentral.